This 73-nucleotide transfer RNA is filed under the name Bothus pantherinus (leopard flounder). Its description in RNAcentral is "tRNA-Ile". It matches the Rfam family "tRNA". Rfam says of the family: Transfer RNA (tRNA) molecules are approximately 80 nucleotides in length. Their secondary structure includes four short double-helical elements and three loops (D, anti-codon, and T loops). RNAcentral also lists the same sequence under 1 other name. Lineage: Eukaryota; Metazoa; Chordata; Actinopteri; Pleuronectiformes; Bothidae. The record is from RNAcentral.
GGAGCUGUGCCCGAGCCUGAAAGGGACCACUUUGAUAAGGUGUACCACGGGGGUUAAAUUCCCUCCAUCUCCA